AAAAAGAUAAAUUUACCUGAUGCGCAAUUAAUGGUAAUAAAUAAAUAAUUAACGAACAAAGUAAGGACAGUUGUCCAUUAGGAUUUUGAUCAGGAAAAAUUCGUAUCAGAAAUCUAACGAAUUUGUUAGAGAAAAAAAAGUGUUGUUGAAAGUAUGUCAGACCUCUUAGAGACAUGGUCAAGUAUCUAACAAGUACAACAAAGAAGUGGAACAAAUUUCAUCCCCUCUUCUUCAUUAUGUAUUCUAAUUAUCCUUCUAUUACAGUUUGUAAAACGUAUUGUAAAUUAUUCAUACGAAAAUAGUACGACAAUGAUUGCAAUCUAUCGAUUGCAACGUUAAAAUAUUGCCACCCCUUUUGACAAAUUAUAGUUCGAAUAAUACAAAGAAAGGUAAAGUUGUUUUUUUUUUUUAUAAGCGUGAAUACACCUGGUAUUUCCCAACAAUUCAAAGAGGAAAUAAAAAACUUAUAUUUUUCGAUAUGAAAAACAUGCGCAGAAAGGGUUUAUUGAUUGCAAUUCUUUCUCAGUUAACGUUCGACCAUCAUAAAGAACACUUGCUUGAUAAAAACCAAUACUAGUCAAAGUAAAUUUUUGUUAGAAAAUUAGAUUUAGAAAAUGUUUUCGUAAUUAAAUAAAAUAAACUUAUCAACUUUUGGAUUCAUAAAAAGUACCUGUAAUAUAUUUACAAUACUAAUAUGCGAUACAAUGUCAUCGCUAUGAUUUAUAAGCAUUUGUCCAGUAUAAAAAGUAACAUAUGUAAUAAAUAAUGACGCUACCAAAUGAA
RNAcentral lists this long non-coding RNA (783 nucleotides) under Polistes fuscatus (common paper wasp). RNAcentral's name for it is "uncharacterized LOC122513843". Lineage: Eukaryota; Metazoa; Arthropoda; Insecta; Hymenoptera; Vespidae. The record is from RNAcentral.